Amphimedon queenslandica is the source of this 303-nucleotide long non-coding RNA. RefSeq lists it as uncharacterized. NCBI's taxonomy places the organism in Eukaryota, Metazoa, Porifera, Demospongiae, Haplosclerida, Niphatidae. The transcript is spliced from 2 exons. The record is from RefSeq and is a predicted model, not a curated record.
AUUAGAAUGGUUCUAUAUUGGAAGGAUUAUUAUUAUGGAAGAGUAAUCUUGAUAAACAUUUUGCUGGUUUGGAUGACUGCAUGAUAUGCUUCAGUAUCAUUCAUGGAUCUAAUUAUUCACUACCUAAAAUGAUAUGUAGAACUUGCAAGAAGAGAUUCCAUUCAUCAUGUCUGUAUAAAUGGUUCAGUACUAGUAACAAGAGCAGUUGUCCACUCUGCAGGAACAUUUUCUAAUUUAUUUUUGUGUGUCAAAUUUUAAUUUUAUUUAUUUAAUAUCAGCAAAAUUAAUCAUCAAACAGCAAAA